Molecule: long non-coding RNA, 242 nt
Filed under: Lathyrus oleraceus (garden pea)
Lineage: Eukaryota; Viridiplantae; Streptophyta; Magnoliopsida; Fabales; Fabaceae
Description: Pisum sativum (pea) long non-coding RNA (PSAT_LNC031910)
Source: RNAcentral
AAUUUGAUCCUCUAGUCUCUUCCACGGAGAAUUUUUAUCAAUGAAGUGAUCAAGGGUGAUCCCUCUUUCUAUUAGAUGACAGGCCUAUAUAUAGAGGGGGGGUGAAUAAAUCCCAAGUUAAAAAUUUAUUCAGAAAUUUUUCUUUAAAAAAUUUAUGACGCGGAAGCAAGUUUCUAAUAUUUCCCAGAUCAAAAAUCGUCUAACCAAACCUACUAUUGAAUAGCCCGAAUAUGCAUAAAGGU